UUUUAUGAGAGUUUGAUCCUGGCUCAGGACGAACGCUGGCGGCGUGCCUAAUACAUGCAAGUCGAACGCUUCUUUUUCCACCGGAGCUUGCUCCACCGGAAAAAGAGGAGUGGCGAACGGGUGAGUAACACGUGGGUAACCUGCCCAUCAGAAGGGGAUAACACUUGGAAACAGGUGCUAAUACCGUAUAACAAUCAAAACCGCAUGGUUUUGAUUUGAAAGGCGCUUUCAGGUGUCGCUGAUGGAUGGACCCGCGGUGCAUUAGCUAGUUGGUGAGGUAACGGCUCACCAAGGCCACGAUGCAUAGCCGACCUGAGAGGGUGAUCGGCCACAUUGGGACUGAGACACGGCCCAAACUCCUACGGGAGGCAGCAGUAGGGAAUCUUCGGCAAUGGACGAAAGUCUGACCGAGCAACGCCGCGUGAGUGAAGAAGGUUUUCGGAUCGUAAAACUCUGUUGUUAGAGAAGAACAAGGAUGAGAGUAACUGUUCAUCCCUUGACGGUAUCUAACCAGAAAGCCACGGCUAACUACGUGCCAGCAGCCGCGGUAAUACGUAGGUGGCAAGCGUUGUCCGGAUUUAUUGGGCGUAAAGCGAGCGCAGGCGGUUUCUUAAGUCUGAUGUGAAAGCCCCCGGCUCAACCGGGGAGGGUCAUUGGAAACUGGGAGA
This 668-nucleotide ribosomal RNA is filed under the name Enterococcus faecium. RNAcentral describes it as "bacterial SSU rRNA". It matches the Rfam family "Bacterial small subunit ribosomal RNA", at positions 1 to 640 of the family's 1533-position model. The record is from RNAcentral. Lineage: Bacteria; Bacillati; Bacillota; Bacilli; Lactobacillales; Enterococcaceae.